This 212-nucleotide long non-coding RNA is filed under the name Olea europaea (common olive). RNAcentral describes it as "long non-coding RNA (OEUR_LNC007584)". Lineage: Eukaryota; Viridiplantae; Streptophyta; Magnoliopsida; Lamiales; Oleaceae. The record is from RNAcentral.
CUGAGGUCAGUGGCGACGACUGUGGACUGAUGAGCACGUCGAGGCGCCGAGCAGAUUUUGGGGAGUUUUUAUUUUGGGAAUUUUUGAUUCAAUUUCAGAUUUUGGGAAUUUUUUGUCAAUUGGAUUGGAUAUUGGAUAUGUGAAUUGGGUUGGGUAAAUAUAUUUGAAGGGUAAAUGAAUUGUGGGCUUGCUGAAUAAUUAGUUUGGGCUGC